GCACAGAGUUAGCCGGGGCUUAUUCCGGGGGUACUGUCGUGUGUCAUUCCCCCGAAAAGGAGUUUACAACCCGAAAGCCGUCAUCCUCCACGCGGCGUUGCUCGGUCAGGCUUGCGCCCAUUGCCGAAAAUUCCUUG
This 137-nucleotide ribosomal RNA is filed under the name uncultured bacterium. RNAcentral's name for it is "partial 16S ribosomal RNA". The record is from RNAcentral.